CAGCCACAUCAUAUUGAAACAUGAGUUCCUGUACAAUCACUGUUGUUAAGCAAUGUCAAGCCUGGUUAGUACCUAGAUGGGUGACUGCUUGGGAAUACCAGGUGCUGUAAG
Acanthosepion pharaonis is the source of this 111-nucleotide non-coding RNA. NCBI's taxonomy places the organism in Eukaryota, Metazoa, Mollusca, Cephalopoda, Sepiida, Sepiidae. The record is from the annotation of a GenBank genome assembly.